Molecule: non-coding RNA, 967 nt
Organism: Myodes glareolus (Bank vole)
Lineage: Eukaryota; Metazoa; Chordata; Mammalia; Rodentia; Cricetidae
Source: RefSeq, a predicted model, not a curated record
GAAUUUUGUUUGCAUGAACAGGACAGCUACUGACCCUCAUACCUCCCUUCACCAGUAGGGCCAUCUGUUCUUUGCUCUUGCCCCUUGGGAGGGGUCGGACCUGGAGUCUCUCUGGGAGAAGGACUUUCCAGAAGGCUAUCUUUGUCUCUGCUCAUGGCUAGGACUCAGGAGGUCCAAGUGCCGGUUCUGUGUGCUCUCUAGUCCGCCCGGAGACUUUGGUGCCCUGGACCAGCACCAGCAGCCUUUUUGCCAAGUGUGAAGCCCUAAAAAUCACAUUCUGCUGAUCCAGACACAGUGUUUUGCUCCUACUGAAACAAAGGCAGGCCGCAGUCCAGAGAUGCGCAGUGUGAGAGGGGAAGGAGAAAUCAGGGAAUGGACUAGCAUUACGAGGAACCUGGGGAAGCCGAGAGCUUGGAAAGACCUCUCUCUCAGAGUUGGAGAACCAGCCCUGUCCACACCUCAACCUUGGCCAUCCAGCCUGUAGAACUAUAGAACCUCAAAUCUCUGCUAUACAAAGCCAUGCGGCCUGCACACGUGGCAUCUCUGAGGCACUGGUGUGGUACUGGGUGUCCUCUCUUAAAACUUCUGCUGCUUAUUCAUUCAAUCAAGGGAGUGUUUCCACCAUGUUUGUCUGCUGUUUUCAUCCAGGGAACUUUCUAGAAUCUGUGGGUGUGGUGCUUUGGCAAUAGGCUUUUGGGAGGUGCUGGCCUGUGGGGGCAGGGGAGUUCUUAGUCAGAAACAGCUGAAAGGACUCUGACCCCUGAGCAUGUGCAAACCCACUCUCCUUCAGGAGACUGAGGGGAAUGGACUCAUAGGACUCAUAGGUCAUGGUCUCAGCAAUGUUGGGGAGUAAGAUGGGGCUCUGGCCAGCAGGCUUCAAGGAUAUAUCUUACAAAUGAGACAGGUGAGCCUGGCUUUUGGCUGCUUUCUAGGAUUCUGGAAUUUUGCUGUUAGGUCUUGUGUGUGU